This 497-nucleotide ribosomal RNA is filed under the name uncultured bacterium. Its description in RNAcentral is "partial 16S ribosomal RNA". It matches the Rfam family "Bacterial small subunit ribosomal RNA", at positions 28 to 507 of the family's 1533-position model. The record is from RNAcentral.
GACGAACGCUGGCGGCGUGCCUAAUACAUGCAAGUUGAGCGCUGAAGGUUGGUACUUGUACCAACUGGAUGAGCAGCGAACGGGUGAGUAACGCGUGGGGAAUCUGCCUUUGAGCGGGGGACAACAUUUGGAAACGAAUGCUAAUACCGCAUAAAGACUUUAAACACAAGUUUUAAGUUUGAAAGAUGCAAUUGCAUCACUCAAAGAUGAUCCCGCGUUGUAUUAGCUAGUUGGUGAGGUAAAGGCUCACCAAGGCGAUGAUACAUAGCCGACCUGAGAGGGUGAUCGGCCACAUUGGGACUGAGACACGGCCCAAACUCCUACGGGAGGCAGCAGUAGGGAAUCUUCGGCAAUGGACGAAAGUCUGACCGAGCAACGCCGCGGGAGUGAAGAAGGUUUUCGGAUCGUAAAACUCUGUUGGUAGAGAAGAACGUUGGUGAGAGUGGAAAGCUCAUCAAGUGACGGUAACUACCCAGAAAGGGACGGCUAACUACGUG